Arvicanthis niloticus (Nile rat) is the source of this 444-nucleotide non-coding RNA. The record is from RefSeq and is a predicted model, not a curated record. Lineage: Eukaryota; Metazoa; Chordata; Mammalia; Rodentia; Muridae.
AUACAACAGGGCCUGGAGUAUAUAGCUCGGUGGAAGAGCACUUGCCUACAAUGCACAAGGCCCGGGGUUUGAAUCAAGACACUACUAACAAACAACAGAAAAAAUGAAAGGCUUCUCAGAUAGCUGCAGAAGUACAGAAAAUGCAGAGCAAGGCAAAGCUGAGCUGUAAUUCAGAAGCCAGGUUCAAGAAAGUACCAGCAUCUCUAAAAACCACUAGGGACUCCUGGGAAGAAAUUUUCACAGCUGAUAGCCAGGCCUUCAAAUGGGGCUGUUUCCCUAGAAAUUUCAAUGGUUGCAGAAAACCAGUCACUGAUCAAUUCGAGUCAGAGUUUUCCAAAGGAGCUUUGCUUUCAAAUUGGAAAGGCCUUUUACAAUGCCUUCUUCAAGCUAUGGUUUCCUUUUAUGCAUGCAUGAGGAUGAUUCUUAAAAACUAUGUAGCAGCUA